UUAUUGUUUUGGAAAUGGUAGUGGAAUAACUUUCACGUAUUUGAAAGAUAAGCUUUUGGGGAAAUAAACCGAAUAUAAUUUAGUAACUUCUUUUACUUGAAUUAAAACUUGGCCAAGGUUGUUAAAUUUUUCCUUGUAGAUACAUGGAUUUUGUGGUUUUCCAAGCUCUUUUUGUUUUGAUUAUAAUACACCUAGAGUACGGGUGAACCGUGUUGAGAAUUGUGAGAGCUUUGAACCUAUGAUCAUUGAUAUGCAACUAAGCGGUCAUUGUUCACGGGGUUUAGUCGAAAUACUACUUCCUUUGUGUAUCAAUUCUUUUGGAAAUGCAACUAAGCAGUCAUUGUUCACUUGGUUGUGAUUUUUCACAUUGUUGAGGACCUUGAGGAAUCAGUGGAUCAUCAUAGUACUUGUUUAAGCAAUUUCCCUGGAACCGAGUGAUGUAAAUCGUCCAUGAACAGAGAGAUUUGUUGUAAUUAGAGUAUUCCAUUUCCAAUUGCUAUUGCAGUCUUGCAGAUGUUGGGUAGUACGUAGUGCUUAAUUUUGUUUUGCUGCUUGGUCGGGUUUGCAUUAACAAAUGUGCACCGGGUGCAUCGACAAAUUUUCUGACGUAUUUUUGGGAGUGGAAAAUUUGGUUGGCUUGAGAGUAAGAUAUUGAUAAGAGGCUCAUGAGUUCCUACGUUUUUCUUUUCUUUUGAAGGAUAGUUACCAAGUAUAGUUUAGUUUCGAUAACUAUCCUUCAAAAUAAUAAACGUAGGAGCUCAUGAGAGCAUGAUAUUGAUAAGAAGCUCAGGAGCUCUUACGUUUUUUUUUGUUUUGUGGUUUACCAAGC
This 829-nucleotide long non-coding RNA is filed under the name Malus domestica (apple). RNAcentral's name for it is "long non-coding RNA (MDOM_LNC019971)". The record is from RNAcentral. Lineage: Eukaryota; Viridiplantae; Streptophyta; Magnoliopsida; Rosales; Rosaceae.